Molecule: long non-coding RNA, 153 nt
Organism: Pipistrellus kuhlii (Kuhl's pipistrelle)
Lineage: Eukaryota; Metazoa; Chordata; Mammalia; Chiroptera; Vespertilionidae
Exons: 3
Source: RefSeq, a predicted model, not a curated record
AUUUCGAUGGCCAACCUAGAGCUGUUAAAGAAUCUUUGUUGUCAGCCAUACCUGGCAACUUCAGGUUAACUAAAUUAUGUGCCCAAAGCAAAUUUCACUCCCAAGCAAGAGUUUCCUACUUCUCUUUGUGGUGAUGUGUGAAGGAAGAAAGUG